CGCGGCCUACGGGGCGCAGCAGUCGAGAAUCAUUCACAAUGGGGGAAACCCUGAUGCAGCGACGCCGCGUGAGCGAAGAAGUAUUUCGGUAUGUAAAGCUCUAUCAGCAGGGAAGAAAAAUGACGGUACCUGAGUAAGAAGCACCGGCUAAAUACGUGCCAGCAGCCGCGGUAAUACGUAUGGUGCAAGCGUUAUCCGGAUUUACUGGGUGUAAAGGGAGCGCAGGCGGUGCGGCAAGUCUGAUGUGAAAGCCCGGGGCUCAACCCCGGGACUGCAUUGGAAACUACCGAACUAGAGUGUCGGAG
This 305-nucleotide ribosomal RNA is filed under the name uncultured bacterium. RNAcentral's name for it is "bacterial SSU rRNA". It matches the Rfam family "Bacterial small subunit ribosomal RNA", at positions 333 to 654 of the family's 1533-position model. The record is from RNAcentral.